RNAcentral lists this ribosomal RNA (301 nucleotides) under uncultured bacterium. Its description in RNAcentral is "partial 16S ribosomal RNA". It matches the Rfam family "Bacterial small subunit ribosomal RNA", at positions 509 to 807 of the family's 1533-position model. The record is from RNAcentral.
CAGCCGCCACGGGAAUACGUAGGGUGCGAGCGUUAAUCGGAAUUACUGGGCGUAAAGCGUGCGCAGGCGGUUGUGUAAGACAGGUGUGAAAUCCCCGGGCUUAACCUGGGAACUGCGCUUGUGACUGCACAGCUAGAGUAUGGCAGAGGGGGGUGGAAUUCCACGUGUAGCAGUGAAAUGCGUAGAGAUCGGAAAGAACACCAACGGCGAAAGCACUCUGCUGGGCCGACACUGACACUGAGAGACGAAAGCUAGGGGAGCAAAUGGGAUUAGAUACCCCGGUAGUCCCUGUCUCUUAUAC